This 450-nucleotide ribosomal RNA is filed under the name uncultured bacterium. RNAcentral's name for it is "bacterial SSU rRNA". It matches the Rfam family "Bacterial small subunit ribosomal RNA", at positions 354 to 796 of the family's 1533-position model. The record is from RNAcentral.
GUAGGGAAUCUUCGGCAAUGGGCGAAAGCCUGACCGAGCAACGCCGCGUGAGCGAUGAAGGCCUUCGGGUCGUAAAGCUCUGUUGUUAGAGAAGAACAAGUACGAGAGUAACUGCUCGUACCUUGACGGUACCUAACCAGAAAGCCACGGCUAACUACGUGCCAGCAGCCGCGGUAAUACGUAGGUGGCAAGCGUUAUCCGGAAUUAUUGGGCGUAAAGCGCGCGCAGGCGGUCUCUUAAGUCUGAUGUGAAAGCCCACGGCUCAACCGUGGAGGGUCAUUGGAAACUGGGAGACUUGAGUGCAGGAGAGAAAAGUGGAAUUCCACGUGUAGCGGUGAAAUGCGUAGAGAUGUGGAGGAACACCAGUGGCGAAGGCGGCUUUUUGGCCUGUAACUGACGCUGAGGCGCGAAAGCGUGGGGAGCAAACAGGAUUAGAUACCCGAGUAGUCC